AAGACCUUGCGCUUUUGGAGCGGCCGAUGUCUGAUUAGCUAGUUGGUAGGGUAAUGGCCUACCAAAGCUUCGAUCAGUAGCUGGUCUGAGAGGACGACCAGCCACACUGGGACUGAGACACGGCCCAGACUCCUACGGGAGGCAGCAGUGGGGAAUUUUGGACAAUGGGCGCAAGCCUGAUCCAGCCAUGCCGCGUGAGUGAAGAAGGCCUUCGGGUUGUAAAGCUCUUUCAGCCGGGAAGAAAAGGCUACGACGAAUAAUCGUAGCUCAUGACGGUACCGGAAGAAGAAGCACCGGCUAACUACGUGCCAGCAGCCGCGGUAAUACGUAGGGUGCGAGCGUUAAUCGGAAUUACUGGGCGUAAAGGGUGCGCAGGCGGUUUUGUAAGUCAGAUGUGAAAUCCCCGGGCUUAACCUGGGAACU
Molecule: ribosomal RNA, 423 nt
Filed under: uncultured bacterium
Lineage: Bacteria
Description: bacterial SSU rRNA
Rfam family: Bacterial small subunit ribosomal RNA
Source: RNAcentral